Long non-coding RNA from Phyllostomus discolor (pale spear-nosed bat), 116 nucleotides. RefSeq lists it as uncharacterized. NCBI's taxonomy places the organism in Eukaryota, Metazoa, Chordata, Mammalia, Chiroptera, Phyllostomidae. The record is from RefSeq and is a predicted model, not a curated record. The transcript has 3 exons.
UGCUUUCCUGCUUGAGAAAGUUGGCCAUGCCAUCCCUUUUUCUCCAGAGGACUUCUGCAGUCCAUGUGAAUUUGUUCAUCAAAUCCACAACACCUCAGACACUGCUGGCGACGAGU